This 253-nucleotide ribosomal RNA is filed under the name uncultured bacterium. RNAcentral's name for it is "partial 16S ribosomal RNA". It matches the Rfam family "Bacterial small subunit ribosomal RNA", at positions 524 to 776 of the family's 1533-position model. The record is from RNAcentral.
UACGUAGGGGGCGAGCGUUGUCCGGAAUUAUUGGGCGUAAAGAGCUCGUAGGCGGUCUGUCGCGUCGGCUGUGAAAUCCCGAGGCUCAACCUCGGGUCUGCAGUCGAUACGGGCAAACUGGAGUGUUGCAGGGGAGACUGGAAUUCCUGGUGUAGCGGUGAAAUGCGCAGAUAUCAGGAGGAACACCGGUGGCGAAGGCGGGUCUCUGGGCAACAACUGACGCUGAGGAGCGAAAGCGUGGGGAGCGAACAGG